CAAUAGCGUAUAUUAAAGUUGUUGCAGUUAGAACGCUCGUAGUCGGAUUUCGGGGCGGGCCGGCCGGUCUGCCGAUGGGUAUGCACUGGUCGGCGCGUCCUUCCUUCCGGAGACCGUCCCUACUCUUAACUGAGCGGGGGCGGGAGACGGGACUUUUACUUUGAAAAAAUCAGAGUGUUUCAAGCAGGCAGCUCGCUCUUGCAUGGAUUAGCAUGGGAUAAUGAAAUAGGACUUUGGUGCUAUUUUGUUGGUUUCGAACACCGAAGUAAUGAUGAGAAGGGACAGUCAGGGGCACUCGUAUUCCGCCGAGAGAGGUGAAAUUCUCAGACCAGCGGAAGACGAACCACUGCGAAAGCAUUUGCCAGGGAUGUUUUCACUGA
RNAcentral lists this ribosomal RNA (380 nucleotides) under uncultured eukaryote. RNAcentral's name for it is "partial 18S ribosomal RNA". It matches the Rfam family "Eukaryotic small subunit ribosomal RNA", at positions 592 to 976 of the family's 1831-position model. The record is from RNAcentral.